GUCUAUGGCCACACCACCCUGAAUGCCCUGAUCUCAUCUAACUCAGAAGCUAAGCAGGAUCAGGCCUGGUUAGUACUUGGAUGGGAGGAAAAACCAAAAAAGCCUAAAAAU
Molecule: ribosomal RNA, 111 nt
Filed under: Microcebus murinus (gray mouse lemur)
Lineage: Eukaryota; Metazoa; Chordata; Mammalia; Primates; Cheirogaleidae
Source: RNAcentral